Molecule: ribosomal RNA, 253 nt
Filed under: uncultured bacterium
Lineage: Bacteria
Description: partial 16S ribosomal RNA
Rfam family: Bacterial small subunit ribosomal RNA
Source: RNAcentral
UACGUAGGGUGCGAGCGUUGCCCGGAUUUAUUGGGCGUAAAGGGCGCGUAGGCGGUGCCACAAGUCACCUGUGAAAUCUCCGGGCUUAACUCGGAGCCUGCAGGCGAAACUGUGGUGCUGGAGUGUGGGAGAGGUGCGUGGAAUUCCCGGUGUAGCGGUGAAAUGCGUAGAUAUCUGGAGGAACACCGGUGGCGAAGGCGGCAUCCUGGACCGACACUGACGCUGAGGCGCGAAAGCUAGGGGAGCAAACGGG